AAUUUGGUGCUGCUAAGACCAUGUUCCUUGUAAUCAUAACCACCGCUGUCCGCACUGGGUUUGCUCAACCGGUGCGCAAAUCGUCAUCAUCGUGCUUCCCUUUUAUGUAACAUUUCAUCAGUGCAGCCACUAGUCAUAAUAUGUUCCAUGUAUCCUCUUCACAAAUUUAUAGUCAUCAACAAAUUAUCUAUAGAUCCUUGUGCUCCAUAAACCUUCCAGCCAC
This 223-nucleotide long non-coding RNA is filed under the name Sorghum bicolor (sorghum). Its description in RNAcentral is "long non-coding RNA (SBIC_LNC000810)". Lineage: Eukaryota; Viridiplantae; Streptophyta; Magnoliopsida; Poales; Poaceae. The record is from RNAcentral.